GAGGAAGUCUUCUGCAACGAGCAAUUUCGUCUUCAGCUUACAGAUUAACAAUGGCAAGGAUACCAAGACGACUACAGGACUUGGAACUUACAAUGCAUGAUCCAGAACAUGUGCAGCUUGGUGAAGAAAAUCUGCAAGGUCCUCCAGAGAUUGAUAAUAUAGUACUAGGAAGAUCUCAUGAAUCCACUAGCCAAAUCAAGAUAAUUUGUAAGUCUCGAUGUGCAGGAGCCACGAACUACUAUGCAGGAGCUGCAACAAACCAAAUCAAAAGAGGGUUGUGGCAGUGCGCCUUUACCACAUGAACAUGUGAUCACUAAGAAUGCCCAUGCUGAAAAUAAUCUUCCCGUGCAGCAAGGCGGUCCUGAACCAAGUUUACGACUUCAAGUCGCUAAGCAGAAUGAUAAUGCUCAAAAUAACAAUGCAACCAAGCCAUGUGGUCAUCACCAAGUCGCUAAGCAGGUACAUAUAGGCUACAUAUCCAAAUGACAAUGAUUGUAUAAUAGAUAGUUGGUCUAAUUAUUUUUGAAAUUGUUCUUAUUUGUGUAAAAUAAAAUCUUCUCAAGUUCAUCAAUAACAAAUGUUUCAUUUCUUAAAAAAAUGGAUAAAGUUGAAGUUGUGUUGUAUUCAAUGAACUCGAGAAAUAAAGACAAACUCGUGGCCAAAGGAACUUUAGUGAGUAAAGAGAAAACAUGUGGUUGGAGGAAACAUGCUUGGAGUGCAAUACGUUGCAGUUCUUAUUCGCGGCUGUACAUAUCUAGGAGAUGAGAAAGUAGUUAGACCAUAUGAAAAAUUCCAAACAGUAAGGGAUGCUAUGGGUUCUAUUAUUGCUUGGCCUCGCUCACAUGUAAGUAUGUUUUCAUUCAAGCAUUGUGUAUGCUCCAAUCUGCACAUGUGUGAUAUGUUAUUUAUCCUGAAUCUUUCUGGUUUUUAGGUAAAAAUAGUUAAGCCAACUCCAGCAUAACCACAAAGCAUUGGGUUGUGAGGAGUUGAAAAGUGAGUGCAUUAAAGGAGCUAGGAGUGGCUAGUUAGUUGAGGAUUUGAAAAGGGGGUGCACUGGACGAGUCAGGAGCAGUUGAUGAAUCAAUCUUUGAACGAACAAAUAUUCUGGAUUAUGUAUAGAUUUUAGCUUCAUAGAGAAAAAUAGUUCCAGUCUAUAGGAUCUUUUCUUAUUUAUUUUCAACAUUGCAUGUUUCAUAUGAAUGUUUGAUAUUAUUUUGCUGUGAAGUCAACGUACUUUUAGUGGA
Triticum urartu is the source of this 1244-nucleotide non-coding RNA. Lineage: Eukaryota; Viridiplantae; Streptophyta; Magnoliopsida; Poales; Poaceae. The record is from RefSeq and is a predicted model, not a curated record.